AUAGCUGAUUUGAGAGGAUGAUCAGCCACAUUGGAACUGAGACACGGUCCAAACUCCUACGGGAGGCAGCAGUGGGGAAUAUUGGACAAUGGGCGAAAGCCUGAUCCAGCAAUACCAUGUGUGUGAAGAAGGCUCUAGGGUUGUAAAGCACUUUAGUUGGGGAGGAAAGCUUGUGAGUUAAUAGCUCAUGGGAAGGACGUUACCCAAAGAAUAAGGACCGGCUAACUCCGUGCCAGCAGCCGCGGUAAUACGGGGGGUCCGAGCGUUAAUCGGAAUUACUGGGCGUAAAGGGUCUGUAGGUGGUUUGUUAAGUCAGAUGUGAAAGCCCAGGGCUCAACCUUGGAACUGCAUUUGAUACUGGCAAACUAGAGUAUAGUAGAGGAAUGGGGAAUUUCUGGUGUAGCGGUGAAAUGCGUAGAGAUCAGAAGGAACACCAAUGGCGAAGGCAACAUUCUGGACUAAUACUGACACUGAGGGACGAAAGCGUGGGGAUCAAACAGGAUUAGAUACCCUGGUAGUCCACGCUGUAAACGAUGAGUACUAGCUGUUGGAUUCGGUGUAAAGGAUCUAGUGGCGUAGCUAACGCGUUAAGUACUCCGCCUGGGGACUACGGCCGCAAGGCUAAAACUCAAAGGAAUUGACGGGGACCCGCACAAGCGGUGGAGCAUGUGGUUUAAUUCGAUGCAACGCGAAGAACCUUACCUGGUCUUGACAUCCUGCGAACUUUCUAGAGAUAGAUUGGUGCCUUCGGGAACGCAGUGACAGGUGCUGCACGGCUGUCGUCAGCUCGUGUUGUGAAAUGUUGGGUUAAGUCCCGCAACGAGCGCAACCCCUAUUGAUAGUUACCAUCAUUAAGUUGGGUACUCUAUUGAGACUGCCGCUGACAAGGCGGAGGAAGGUGGGGACGACGUCAAGUCAUCAUGGCCCUUACG
RNAcentral lists this ribosomal RNA (932 nucleotides) under uncultured Francisella sp. RNAcentral's name for it is "bacterial SSU rRNA". It matches the Rfam family "Bacterial small subunit ribosomal RNA", at positions 283 to 1206 of the family's 1533-position model. The record is from RNAcentral. Lineage: Bacteria; Pseudomonadati; Pseudomonadota; Gammaproteobacteria; Thiotrichales; Francisellaceae.